CAUUACCGAGUUUACAACUCCCAAACCCAAUGUGAACGUUACCAAACUGUUGCCUCGGCGGGGUCACGCCCCGGGUGCGUAAAAGCCCCGGAACCAGGCGCCCGCCGGAGGAACCAACCAAACUCUUUCUGUAGUCCCCUCGCGGACGUAUUUCUUACAGCUCUGAGCAAAAAUUCAAAAUGAAUCAAAACUUUCAACAACGGAUCUCUUGGUUCUGGCAUCGAUGAAGAACGCAGCGAAAUGCGAUAAGUAAUGUGAAUUGCAGAAUUCAGUGAAUCAUCGAAUCUUUGAACGCACAUUGCGCCCGCCAGUAUUCUGGCGGGCAUGCCUGUCCGAGCGUCAUUUCAACCCUCGAACCCCUCCGGGGGGUCGGCGUUGGGGAUCGGGACCCCUCACCGGGUGCCGGCCCUGAAAUACAGUGGCGGUCUCGCCGCAGCCUCUCCUGCGCAGUAGUUUGCACAACUCGCACCGGGAGCGCGGCGCGUCCACGUCCGUAAAACACCCAACUUCUGAAAUGUUGACCUCGGAUCAGGUAGGAAUACCCGCUGAACUUAAGCAUAUCA
This 563-nucleotide ribosomal RNA is filed under the name Trichoderma hamatum. RNAcentral describes it as "eukaryotic LSU rRNA". The stretch from base 189 to 342 matches the Rfam family "5.8S ribosomal RNA". The record is from RNAcentral. Lineage: Eukaryota; Fungi; Ascomycota; Sordariomycetes; Hypocreales; Hypocreaceae.